This 253-nucleotide ribosomal RNA is filed under the name uncultured bacterium. RNAcentral describes it as "partial 16S ribosomal RNA". It matches the Rfam family "Bacterial small subunit ribosomal RNA", at positions 524 to 776 of the family's 1533-position model. The record is from RNAcentral.
UACGUAGGUCGCAAGCGUUGUCCGGAUUUACUGGGCGUAAAGAGCGCGCAGGCGGCUGGUCAAGUCCGAUGUGAAAUCUCCCGGCUCAACUGGGAAACUGCAUCGGAAACUGAUCGGCUUGGAGAUGGGAGAGGGUAGUGGAAUUCCCGGUGUAGUGGUGAAAUGCGUAGAUAUCGGGAGGAACACCUAUGGCGAAGGCAGCUCGCUGGGACGUUACUGACGCUGAGACGCGAAAGCGUGGGGAGCAAACAGG